This 484-nucleotide ribosomal RNA is filed under the name uncultured bacterium. Its description in RNAcentral is "partial 16S ribosomal RNA". It matches the Rfam family "Bacterial small subunit ribosomal RNA", at positions 30 to 507 of the family's 1533-position model. The record is from RNAcentral.
AUUGAACGCUGGCGGCAGGCCUAACACAUGCAAGUCGAGCGGAUGAAGGGAGCUUGCUCCUGGAUUCAGCGGCGGACGGGUGAGUAAUGCCUAGGAAUCUGCCUUGUAGUGGGGGAUAACGUCCGAAAACGGGCGCUAAUACCGCAUACGUCCUGUGGGAGAAAGUGGGUGAUCUUCGGACCUCACGCUAUCAGAUGAGCCUAGGUCGGAUUAGCUAGUUGGUGGGGUAAAGGCCUACCAAGGCGACGAUCCGUAACUGGUCUGAGAGGAUGAUCAGUCACACUGGAACUGAGACACGGUCCAGACUCCUACGGGAGGCAGCAGUGGGGAAUAUUGGACAAGGGGCGAAAGCGUGAUCCAGCGAUGACGCGUGUGUGAAGAAGGCCUUCGGAUUGUAAAGCACUUUAAGUUGGGAGGAAGGGCAGUAAGUUAAUACCUUGCUGUUUUGACGUUACCAACAGAAUAAGCACCGGCUAACUUCGUG